ACCAACAACACAUCUCAGUAUGACAAGUUCAGACUUGACCGUACGGACCCGUCCGGUCUCGCAUGCGACGCCGUUAACGGAGAGACGCCGCCGACCCGCCGGAGGCACUUUCUCCAUCACUGCUUAAAGUGGACCCGAUGUGAACUAGAAUGAAGUUGGCUGGACAUAAAGUUAACUGGACAGUACCUGAAGCUAACUGGACCUCAAGUACUCUGUGAUCUUUGGGCCUGUACAAGUGAUCCUCAAGUUCAGCAGCACGGAUGAGGUGAUCAAACGCUCCAACAAUACAGAGUAUGGCCUGGCUUCUGGUAUUAUCACCACCAACAUUAACAAGGCCAUAAUGUAUGCCCAAGCUGUUCAGGCCGGAUCAGUUUGGGUCAACUGCUAUGAUGUGUGUCUCCCACAAACACCAUUUGGAGGAUACAAACAAUCUGGUCAUGGACGGGAACUUUGUGGAUGAGCGAGCCGAUACAAGUUAGAGACGGGAACGGAGAUAGAUUCUACAGUCGGCGUCUGAGAGCCGAUUCGGACGAAGACGCCGCCCGACGCGCCACGAAGACACUCGUCAAUUGCGGACGAAGAUACCGGCGGACGUGCGAGGAAGACACUCCGGAACGCGGGAAGAAUACACUCGCGAAUGCGAGAAGAUCCUCGUCGACGCAGAAGACGCGUAUCGAUGUCGUAUCGCGACGUAUGUUUUGUGGCAGUCCAGUUUGAAUGUUUUACAGAUGAUGUUAAUGUGUAAAAUUGAUGCCCAUUUUGUUUGUGUAGAGUAAUGAUUUUUAUAAUGUUUGUAGUAUUGUUUUUACAUAGCGACUUUGGAAGUCGAUACAUAACGAGAAUGAAUUUAUUGAAGAUGUUGCCUGUGAUGACUAGGGGUUUGGAAUAAUUUGUUGAGAAGAUGAUCAUUGUAGACAUUUUGCAAAUAGAUCGUAGCAUUUGGAAUGUCAUUUAAUGCGGAAUUCCGGCACGUCCUCAAAUGACGGAAGCGCAAAUACGAGACGACGCGCGCGUUUCGAAAGUAAAAGAAGGGGGAGAUCGGACCGACGUAGAUUAACGAGAUGGCGUCGUCGAGGUAACUGAUAAGAAUGGAGAAAUGGUGACUAUUUUGUUGAGUUAUGAGAAGGGAAAAUUAGAAGAUAGUUUUUUAGGACUGACUAUUUAGAAAGAGAGAGAGAGUAAAGGAAAUCGAUUGAGGUAGUAGUUAUAUAUUAGCGAAGAUGUAAAGUAAAAGGCGAUAAGGACGGCGGGAGGGACAAGGAUCGAUAGAUUUUGCAGGGCACGAGAGGAAUCGACGCGCGAUCACUCGGUCGGCGCAGUGGCGAGAAACGGAUGCGCUGGGGAUUUUGAAGAGGGAAGAAGUCGCGCGGGGAAAUCGGCGGAAGGGACGAGUCGAGGAUCGGCGGCACGGUCGCGGGAGACGACGACGAAUGGAGUAAAUGUCGGUUUAGGAGAGAGUAAUACGUAAAAGGGGGGGUGCAGGUAUUUGCGGAUAUAGACUACGGUCGA
Molecule: long non-coding RNA, 1509 nt
Organism: Homarus americanus (American lobster)
Lineage: Eukaryota; Metazoa; Arthropoda; Malacostraca; Decapoda; Nephropidae
Exons: 5
Source: RefSeq, a predicted model, not a curated record